RNAcentral lists this ribosomal RNA (1459 nucleotides) under Acinetobacter baumannii Naval-17. RNAcentral describes it as "bacterial SSU rRNA". It matches the Rfam family "Bacterial small subunit ribosomal RNA". The record is from RNAcentral. RNAcentral also lists the same sequence under 1 other name. Lineage: Bacteria; Pseudomonadati; Pseudomonadota; Gammaproteobacteria; Moraxellales; Moraxellaceae.
AUUGAACGCUGGCGGCAGGCUUAACACAUGCAAGUCGAGCGGGGGAAGGUAGCUUGCUACCGGACCUAGCGGCGGACGGGUGAGUAAUGCUUAGGAAUCUGCCUAUUAGUGGGGGACAACAUCUCGAAAGGGAUGCUAAUACCGCAUACGUCCUACGGGAGAAAGCAGGGGAUCUUCGGACCUUGCGCUAAUAGAUGAGCCUAAGUCGGAUUAGCUAGUUGGUGGGGUAAAGGCCUACCAAGGCGACGAUCUGUAGCGGGUCUGAGAGGAUGAUCCGCCACACUGGGACUGAGACACGGCCCAGACUCCUACGGGAGGCAGCAGUGGGGAAUAUUGGACAAUGGGGGGAACCCUGAUCCAGCCAUGCCGCGUGUGUGAAGAAGGCCUUAUGGUUGUAAAGCACUUUAAGCGAGGAGGAGGCUACUUUAGUUAAUACCUAGAGAUAGUGGACGUUACUCGCAGAAUAAGCACCGGCUAACUCUGUGCCAGCAGCCGCGGUAAUACAGAGGGUGCGAGCGUUAAUCGGAUUUACUGGGCGUAAAGCGUGCGUAGGCGGCUUAUUAAGUCGGAUGUGAAAUCCCCGAGCUUAACUUGGGAAUUGCAUUCGAUACUGGUGAGCUAGAGUAUGGGAGAGGAUGGUAGAAUUCCAGGUGUAGCGGUGAAAUGCGUAGAGAUCUGGAGGAAUACCGAUGGCGAAGGCAGCCAUCUGGCCUAAUACUGACGCUGAGGUGCGAAAGCAUGGGGAGCAAACAGGAUUAGAUACCCUGGUAGUCCAUGCCGUAAACGAUGUCUACUAGCCGUUGGGGCCUUUGAGGCUUUAGUGGCGCAGCUAACGCGAUAAGUAGACCGCCUGGGGAGUACGGUCGCAAGACUAAAACUCAAAUGAAUUGACGGGGGCCCGCACAAGCGGUGGAGCAUGUGGUUUAAUUCGAUGCAACGCGAAGAACCUUACCUGGCCUUGACAUACUAGAAACUUUCCAGAGAUGGAUUGGUGCCUUCGGGAAUCUAGAUACAGGUGCUGCAUGGCUGUCGUCAGCACGUGUCGUGAGAUGUUGGGUUAAGUCCCGCAACGAGCGCAACCCUUUUCCUUACUUGCCAGCAUUUCGGAUGGGAACUUUAAGGAUACUGCCAGUGACAAACUGGAGGAAGGCGGGGACGACGUCAAGUCAUCAUGGCCCUUACGGCCAGGGCUACACACGUGCUACAAUGGUCGGUACAAAGGGUUGCUACACAGCGAUGUGAUGCUAAUCUCAAAAAGCCGAUCGUAGUCCGGAUUGGAGUCUGCAACUCGACUCCAUGAAGUCGGAAUCGCUAGUAAUCGCGGAUCAGAAUGCCGCGGUGAAUACGUUCCCGGGCCUUGUACACACCGCCCGUCACACCAUGGGAGUUUGUUGCACCAGAAGUAGCUAGCCUAACUGCAAAGAGGGCGGUUACCACGGUGUGGCCGAUGACUGGGGUG